AAAAUACUCCCUCCGUCCGGAAAUACUUGACAUCAAAAUUGAUAAAAGGAGAUGUAUCUAGACAUAUUUUAGUUCUAGAUACAUUCUUUUUUGUUCAUUUUGAUGACAAGUAUUUUUGGACGGAGGGAGUACUAA
Molecule: non-coding RNA, 135 nt
Organism: Triticum urartu
Lineage: Eukaryota; Viridiplantae; Streptophyta; Magnoliopsida; Poales; Poaceae
Source: Rfam